This is a long non-coding RNA of Acipenser ruthenus (sterlet), 571 nucleotides long. RefSeq lists it as uncharacterized. The record is from RefSeq and is a predicted model, not a curated record. The transcript has 4 exons. NCBI's taxonomy places the organism in Eukaryota, Metazoa, Chordata, Actinopteri, Acipenseriformes, Acipenseridae.
CCCUGCUACAGGAAGUCAGUACCCAGGGAAGUCAAUAAAAGCUUCCCUCACCAACAUGGCUGGUUCCCCACUUCCUGUCAAGAUGGAGGACCAUACCACCACACCCAACUCAGGACACUCCCAACCACAGGCCUCCAGUCCUGAUACCCCAGGUACUGCCCUGCUACAGGAAGUCAGUACCCAGGGAAGUCAAUAAAAGCUUCCCUCACCAACAUGGCUGGUUCCCCACUUCCUGUCAAGAUGGAGGACCAUACCACCACACCCAACUCAGGACACUCCCAACCACAGGCCUCCAGUCCUGAUACCCCAGGUAAGUGAAUUUUGUUUUUAUUAUUUUCCUUACUAGACCCAAGGUUUAGCAACACAAUACACAAACAGUUAAAAAACAAUUUGCAGAAAAUGUCCAGAUACAUACUGAGACAAAUGUGAGGGUCUCCUCCCUCACAAGGUACUGUAAAUCCAAAAGUUCUACUACGUCUGUACUAGAAAAGCAUGGGGCCACAAGGGAUUCACAGUAUGCAUGGUAAACAUGAACUCAAUAUUCAUUAUCAGAUUAGUAUUAUUAACACAA